GUGAAUCAUCAAAUUUUUGAACGCAAAUUGCACUCUCUGGUAUUCCGGAGAGUAUGCCUAUUUGAGGGUCAGUUGAAAUAAUAUAAAGUGUAAGAUUUCUCUGUAUUUAUAAUGGGUCGUCCAUGUGUUGUGUUCGCUUAGGAUCCAAGACAAGCUCAUUUUCUUGGGUUGCGUGAAAGUAUUAGUUAGCUCUUGAGUUAA
Molecule: unclassified non-coding RNA, 201 nt
Filed under: Ambisporaceae sp.
Lineage: Eukaryota; Fungi; Glomeromycota; Glomeromycetes; Archaeosporales; Ambisporaceae
Description: partial contains 5.8S ribosomal RNA and internal transcribed spacer 2
Rfam family: 5.8S ribosomal RNA (bases 1-71)
Source: RNAcentral